Long non-coding RNA from Saccostrea cuccullata (small rock oyster), 1062 nucleotides. RefSeq lists it as uncharacterized. Lineage: Eukaryota; Metazoa; Mollusca; Bivalvia; Ostreida; Ostreidae. The record is from RefSeq and is a predicted model, not a curated record. The transcript has 3 exons.
GGUGACAUUUUAAAGUUUGAUUGGCAUGGACUAUCGGAAUGAAGAUGACUGCAGGAAUGGUUUGUUUGAUUAUUGGCCUAUCAAACAUUUUCCAGUCAUUUGAUGAUGCCACCACUUGGGAUAGUAAGCUGCAAAUACAGACUUGUACUCAGCACUUAUUGCCUUUGAGAAGUAAGGGAUCCUUUUGACACUGAAUCUCGGUGUAUGCGGUCUCAUUGGAGUAACCCGUCUGAAGCAUUUAGCAAUGGGAUUGGAACCUGUGAUGUUUGAUGCAGUGAAUAAUCAAAGUACUCAGAAGUACUGAAAGCUGGGCUCAUUUACAGGGUAAUGAACAAAGACCGUGAUGAGAGUUUAAAAACAAAUUCAGACAUUGAGAGGAUAUGUUAUCCACAAAAAUAUCUCUAUGGCAUAUAUAUAGUAUUAAAAAGUUUUAAAAUUAAAUAAAAUUAUUAUAGAAUUUAACAGCAAAAAAUAUUCAUCACAUGUAUCGUUUGAGGCGGUUUCAGGGAUUUAUAUACCAACAGAAGUAAAUAAACACUAAUGCAGCAAGAUUAAUUAAGGUCAAACGAUUAUGCACUGAUGUGUCCUCAGCUGAGAAUUUGCAUCAAAGCGUACAUCAAGUAAUUAAUGAUGUUUACCGCAUUUGUGUUAGACUGACAAUACAACCUUUAUUUAUAGAAUAUGGCGCACACAUCCAUAGUGAUGAAAACCUUUUGCAUAUUUUAAACAAAUAAUUAAUUGAAGAAGACUGUAGAAAGUACAUUAUUAUAAUUAUUUUUUGACAAUUUCUGAUAACUUUGAAAAUUUAAUUCUGUAAUCAGUGUUUGUAUUGCCUCAAAUUUGAUUGCGCAAAUGUACUAUAUUUUAAUGUGUAAAUUUGAUUAAGCAUCAGUGAUGAAGCAGCAUUUCCUGUUGAACUUCGUAGCAAUGAGUCCGGCUAGAAAUCAAGCUAAACUUCAGGAUUAUAUAAAGGGAAUGCCCUACCACUAGGCUACCAUUUUUAAGACAAAGAUGUAUUUUGGUUAUAUAGGAAAAAAUGCUUUGGCAAACACUUAUAAUGAA